GAAAUGCGAUAAGUAAUGUGAAUUGCAGAAUUCCGUGAAUCAUCGAAUCUUUGAACGCACAUUGCGCCCUCUGGCAUUCCGGGGGGGCAUGCCUGUCCGAGCGUCAUUACGCACCCUCAAGCCCGGCUUGUGUGAUGGGCCCUGGCGUCUCGUUCGCGAGACGGGCCCGAAAGGCAGCGGCGGCGUCGACCCGAUGAGCCCGAGCGUAUGGGGACUUUUGACACACGUUUGCGGUGCGGACCGGCGCCUGCUUGACUUUUCUGAUUAUCCAGGUUGACCUCGGAUCAGGUAGGGAUACCCGCUGAACUUAAGC
RNAcentral lists this unclassified non-coding RNA (313 nucleotides) under plant metagenome. RNAcentral describes it as "partial contains 5.8S ribosomal RNA, internal transcribed spacer 2, and large subunit ribosomal RNA". The stretch from base 1 to 106 matches the Rfam family "5.8S ribosomal RNA", at positions 50 to 154 of the family's 154-position model. The record is from RNAcentral.